AGAGUUUGAUCAUGGCUCAGGAUGAACGCUAGCGGCAGGCUUAACACAUGCAAGUCGAGGGGUAUAGGUUUUCGGACCUAGAGACCGGCGCACGGGUGCGUAACGCGUAUGCAAUCUACCUUUCACAGAGGGAUAGCCCAGAGAAAUUUGGAUUAAUACCUCAUAGUAUCUAGUUUUCGCAUGGAGACUAGAUUAAAGUUCCAACGGUGAAAGAUGAGCAUGCGUCCCAUUAGCUAGAUGGUAAGGUAACGGCUUACCAUGGCUACGAUGGGUAGGGGUCCUGAGAGGGAGAUCCCCCACACUGGUACUGAGACACGGACCAGACUCCUACGGGAGGCAGCAGUGAGGAAUAUUGGUCAAUGGACGCAAGUCUGAACCAGCCAUGCCGCGUGCAGGAUGACGGUCCUAUGGAUUGUAAACUGCUUUUGUACGAGAAGAAACACUCCUUCGUGAAGGAGCUUGACGGUAUCGUAAGAAUAAGGAUCGGCUAACUCCGUGCCAGCAGCCGCGGUAAUACGGAGGAUCCAAGCGUUAUCCGGAAUCAUUGGGUUUAAAGGGUCCGUAGGCGGUUUAGUAAGUCAGUGGUGAAAGCCCAUCGCUC
Molecule: ribosomal RNA, 601 nt
Filed under: uncultured Flavobacterium sp.
Lineage: Bacteria; Pseudomonadati; Bacteroidota; Flavobacteriia; Flavobacteriales; Flavobacteriaceae
Description: bacterial SSU rRNA
Rfam family: Bacterial small subunit ribosomal RNA
Source: RNAcentral